Molecule: small RNA, 2615 nt
Filed under: Pan troglodytes (chimpanzee)
Lineage: Eukaryota; Metazoa; Chordata; Mammalia; Primates; Hominidae
Description: processed transcript
Source: RNAcentral
AAAGGGUGGGGGCGGGGGUAGGGGGAGCCAAUCCCGGCAGCGCCAAAGAGGGGAGGAGGCGGUGACAGCCGCGGGGAGGGGGCGGGAGGAGAGAGGCGUCUCGGCUCGGCUCCGCGCUCAGCUCCGCUCUGCCUCCGGCUCUGCGCUCACCUGCUGCCUAGUGUUCCCUCUCCCGCUCCAGGACCUCCGGGUAGACCUCAGACCCCGGGUCCAUUCCCAGACUCAGCCUCAGCCCGGACUUCCCCAGCCCCGACAGCACAGUAGGCCGCCAGGGGGCGCCGUGUGAGCGCCCUAUCCCGGCCACCCGGCGCCCCCUCCCACGGCCCGGGCGGGAGCGGGGCGCCGGGGGCCAUGCGGGGCCAGGGCCGCAAGGAGAGUUUGUCCGAUUCCCGAGACCUGGACGGCUCCUACGACCAGCUCACGGGCCACCCUCCAGGGCCCACUAAAAAAGCGCUGAAGCAGCGAUUCCUCAAGCUGCUGCCAUGCUGCGGGCCCCAAGCCCUGCCCUCAGUCAGUGAAAUUGGCCGGGUCUUCCGCUUUCUCGGUGACAGUUCGCUCCCUUCAGCAUUAGCCGCCCCAGCCUCCCUCCGCCCCCACAGACCCCGCCUGCUGGACCCAGACAGCGUGGACGAUGAAUUUGAAUUGUCCACCGUGUGUCACCGGCCUGAGGGUCUGGAGCAGCUGCAGGAGCAAACCAAAUUCACGCGCAAGGAGUUGCAGGUCCUGUACCGGGGCUUCAAGAACUCUUCCCUCCCAUCACAUGAGCCACGUGGAAUGUCCCAGCGGAAUUGUCAAUGAGGAGAACUUCAAGCAGAUUUACUCCCAGUUCUUUCCUCAAGGAGACUCCAGCACCUAUGCCACUUUUCUCUUCAAUGCCUUUGACACCAACCAUGAUGGCUCGGUCAGUUUUGAGGACUUUGUGGCUGGUUUGUCCGUGAUUCUUCGGGGAACUGUAGAUGACAGGCUUAAUUGGGCCUUCAACCUGUAUGACCUUAACAAGGACGGCUGCAUCACCAAGGAGGAAAUGCUUGACAUCAUGAAGUCCAUCUAUGACAUGAUGGGCAAGUACACGUACCCUGCACUCCGGGAGGAGGCCCCAAGGGAACACGUGGAGAGCUUCUUCCAGAAGAUGGACAGAAACAAGGAUGGUGUGGUGACCAUUGAGGAAUUCAUUGAGUCUUGUCAAAAGGAUGAGAACAUCAUGAGGUCCAUGCAGCUCUUUGACAAUGUCAUCUAGCCCCCAGGAGAGGGGGUCAGUGUUUCCUGGGGGGACCAUGCUCUAACCCUAGUCCAGGCAGACCUCACCCUUCUCUUCCCAGGUCUAUCCUCAUCCUAGGCCUCCCUGGGGGCUGGAGGGAUCCAAGAGCUUGGGGAUUCAGUAGUCCAGAUCUCUGGAGCUGAAGGGGCCAGAGAGUGGGCAGAGUGCAUCUCGGGGGGUGUUCCCAACUCCCACCAGCUCUCACCCCCUUCCUGCCUGACACCCAGUGUUGAGAGUGCCCCUCCUGUAGGAAUUGAGCGGUUCCCCACCUCCUACCCCUACUCUAGAAACACACUAGACAGAUGUCUCCUGCUAUGGUGCUUCCCCCAUCCCUGAUCUCAUAAACAUUUCCCCUAAGACUCCCCUCUCAGAGAGAAUGCUCCAUUCUUGGCACUGGCUGGCUUCUCAGACCAGCCAUUGAGAGCCCUGUGGGAGGGGGACAAGAAUGUAUUGGGAGAAAUCUUGGGCCUGAGUCAAUGGAUAGGUCCUAGGAGGUGGCUGGGGUUGAGAAUAGAAGGGCCUGGACAGAUUAUGAUUGCUCAGGCAUACCAGGUUAUAGCUCCAAGUUCCACAGGUCUGCUACCACAGGCCAUCAAAAUAUAAGUUUCCAGGCUUUGCAGAAGACCUUGUCUCCUUAGAAAUGCCCCAGAAAUUUUCCACACCCUCCUCGGUAUCCAUGGAGAGCCUGGGGCCAGAUAUCUGGCUCAUCUCUGGCAUUGCUUCCUCUCCUUCCUUCCUGCAUGUGUUGGUGGUGGUUGUGGUGGGGGAAUGUGGAUGGGGGAUGUCCUGGCUGAUGCCUGCCAAAAUUUCAUCCCACCCUCCUUGCUUAUCGUCCCUGUUUUGAGGGCUAUGACUUGAGUUUUUGUUUCCCAUGUUCUCUAUAGACUUGGGACCUUCCUGAACUUGGGGCCUAUCACUCCCCACAGUGGAUGCCUUAGAAGGGAGAGGGAAGGAGGGAGGCAGGCAUAGCAUCUGAACCCAGUGUGGGGGCAUUCACUAGAAUCUUCAAUCAACCUGGGCUCUCCCCACGCCCCCCAGAUAACCUCCUCAGUUCCCUAGGGUCUCUUCUUGCUUGACUCAAUCUACCCAGAGAUGCCCCUUAGCACACCUAGAGGGCAGGGACCAUAGGACCCAGGUUCCAACCCCAUUGUCAGCACCCCAGCCAUGCGGCCACCCCUUAGCACACCUGCUCGUCCCAUUCAGCUUACCCUCCCAGUCGGCCAGAAUCUGAGGGGAGGGCCCCCAGAGAGCCCCCUUCCCCAUCAGAAGACUGUUGACUGCUUUGCAUUUUGGGCUCUUCUAUAUAUUUUGUAAAAUAAGAAAUAUACCAGAUCUAAUAAAACACAAUGGCUAUGCA